GACAGAGGGGGCAAGCGUUGCUCGGAAUCACUGGGCGUAAAGGGCGCGUAGGCGGGAUGGCAAGUCAGUCGUGAAAUCUCUCGGCUCAACCGAGAAACGUCGGCUGAUACUGCCGUUCUUGAGGGAUGCAGAGGAGACUGGAAUUCCGGGUGUAGUGGUGAAAUGCGUAGAGAUCCGGAGGAACACCAGUGGCGAAGGCGACACGCUGGGCCGUACCUGACACUGAUGCGCGACAGCAUGGGGAGCAAACAGG
This 253-nucleotide ribosomal RNA is filed under the name uncultured bacterium. RNAcentral describes it as "partial 16S ribosomal RNA". It matches the Rfam family "Bacterial small subunit ribosomal RNA", at positions 524 to 776 of the family's 1533-position model. The record is from RNAcentral.